This 226-nucleotide long non-coding RNA is filed under the name Anser brachyrhynchus (Pink-footed goose). RNAcentral's name for it is "lncRNA (ENSABRG00000001780.1)". The record is from RNAcentral. Lineage: Eukaryota; Metazoa; Chordata; Aves; Anseriformes; Anatidae.
GGAAAGAUUUUGUUCAUUUGUGGAUUUUUAUUUUCUUCAUCCAGUUUCUCAUUUAUACUCAGGGCAGAAGUCAUUUAAUCUGUUUGAUGACAUCAUGAUAUAAGUGGAACAAAUCAACAAGAAAUUCAUCCCUUUGUAAGACUGGUGUGAUGAAUCAUGCUCUGGAGCCUGAUUAUUCAAAGCUUUCAAUUGGCAGAACACAAGCAUGAUUAAAGACAGCUUUUCC